RNAcentral lists this ribosomal RNA (21 nucleotides) under uncultured Melampsora. RNAcentral's name for it is "partial 28S ribosomal RNA". The record is from RNAcentral. Lineage: Eukaryota; Fungi; Basidiomycota; Pucciniomycetes; Pucciniales; Melampsoraceae.
CCGCUGAACUUAAGCAUAUCA